RNAcentral lists this ribosomal RNA (497 nucleotides) under uncultured bacterium. RNAcentral's name for it is "partial 16S ribosomal RNA". It matches the Rfam family "Bacterial small subunit ribosomal RNA", at positions 28 to 507 of the family's 1533-position model. The record is from RNAcentral.
GAUGAACGCUGGCGGCGUGCCUAAUACAUGCAAGUCGAGCGAACAGACGAGGAGCUUGCUCCUCUGCCGUUAGCGGCGGACGGGUGAGUAACACGUGGAUAACCUACCUAUAAGACUGGGAUAACUUCGGGAACCCGGAGCUAAUACCGGAUAAUAUAUUGAACCGCAUGGUUCAAUAGUGAAAGACGGUUCUGCUGUCACUUAUAGAUGUAUCCGCGCCGCAUUAGCUAGUUGGUAAGGUAACGGCUUACCAAGGCAACGAUGCGUAGCCGACCUGAGAGGGUGAUCGGCCACACUGGAACUGAGACACGGUCCAGACUCCUACGGGAGGCAGCAGUGGGGAAUCUUCCACAAUGGGCGAAAGCCUGACGGAGCCAUGCCGCGUGAGUGAUGAAGGUCUUCGGAUUGUAAAACUCUGUUAGUAGGGAAGAACAAAUGUGUAAGUAACUAUGCACGUCUUGACGGUACCUAAACAGAAAGCCACGGCUAACUACGUG